This 670-nucleotide ribosomal RNA is filed under the name Klebsiella pneumoniae. RNAcentral describes it as "partial 23S ribosomal RNA". It matches the Rfam family "Bacterial large subunit ribosomal RNA", at positions 1183 to 1838 of the family's 2925-position model. The record is from RNAcentral. Lineage: Bacteria; Pseudomonadati; Pseudomonadota; Gammaproteobacteria; Enterobacterales; Enterobacteriaceae.
UAAACCAUGCACCGAAGCUGCGGCAGCGACACUAUGUGUUGUUGGGUAGGGGAGCGUUCUGUAAGCCUGCGAAGGUGACCUGUGAGGGUUGCUGGAGGUAUCAGAAGUGCGAAUGCUGACAUAAGUAACGAUAAAGCGGGUGAAAAGCCCGCUCGCCGGAAGACCAAGGGUUCCUGUCCAACGUUAAUCGGGGCAGGGUGAGUCGACCCCUAAGGCGAGGCCGAAAGGCGUAGUCGAUGGGAAACAGGUUAAUAUUCCUGUACUUGGUGUUACUGCGAAGGGGGGACGGAGAAGGCUAUGUUAGCCGGGCGACGGUUGUCCCGGUUUAAGCAUGUAGGCUGAUUGUCCAGGCAAAUCCGGAUAAUCAAGGCUGAGGUGUGAUGACGAGGCACUACGGUGCUGAAGUAACAAAUGCCCUGCUUCCAGGAAAAGCCUCUAAGCAUCAGGUAACAUUAAAUCGUACCCCAAACCGACACAGGUGGUCAGGUAGAGAAUACCAAGGCGCUUGAGAGAACUCGGGUGAAGGAACUAGGCAAAAUGGUGCCGUAACUUCGGGAGAAGGCACGCUGGUGUGUAGGUGAAGUCCCUGCGGAUGGAGCUGAGACCAGUCGAAGAUACCAGCUGGCUGCAACUGUUUAUUAAAAACACAGCACUGUGCAAACACGAAAGU